This is a long non-coding RNA of Fundulus heteroclitus (mummichog), 243 nucleotides long. RefSeq lists it as uncharacterized. The transcript is spliced from 3 exons. The record is from RefSeq and is a predicted model, not a curated record. NCBI's taxonomy places the organism in Eukaryota, Metazoa, Chordata, Actinopteri, Cyprinodontiformes, Fundulidae.
UGGGAGAAGACGAUCCGGUGGGGAAGAGCAAACUGAGCCGCCUAACACCAACAGAGUAGGAUCACAGAGUUCCCUCGGCGCUACUUCUCCCCGGUUAGGUCCGCCCAGCUUUAUGUCUCUCCAGCCGUGACGUUCUGACCCUGCCGAAGUUGCCUGUAGUCCCGUCCGUUAUACCGGCCUGUUUCCUAAAUAAACAUCUUAAAACUGUGCCUUGCUUCCCGAUCGUAUCUGCAUGUGGACUCG